This 454-nucleotide ribosomal RNA is filed under the name uncultured bacterium. RNAcentral describes it as "bacterial SSU rRNA". It matches the Rfam family "Bacterial small subunit ribosomal RNA", at positions 340 to 786 of the family's 1533-position model. The record is from RNAcentral.
UACGGAAGGCAGCAGUGGGGAAUAUUGCACAAUGGGCGAAAGCCUGAUGCAGCUAUGCCGCGUGUAUGAAGAAGGCCUUAGGGUUGUAAAGUACUUUCAUCGGGGAGGAAAAACAAAACUAAUAAUUUUAUUUCUUGACGUUACCCGAAAAAGAAGCACCGGCUAACUCCGUGCCAGCAGCCACGGUAAUACGGAGGGUGCUAGCGUUAAUCAGAAUUACUGGGCGUAAAGAGCACGUAGGUGGUUUUUUUAAGUCAGAUGUGAAAUCCCUGGGCUUAACCUGGAACUGCAUUUUGAAACUGAAAUACUAGAGUAUCGUAGAGGGAGGUAGAAUUCUAGGUGUAGCGGUGAAAUGCGUAGAUAUCUGGAGGAAUACCUGUGGCGAAAGCGGCCUCCUAAACGAAUACUGACACUGAGGUGCGAAAGCGUGGGGAGCAAACAGGGAUUAGAUACC